Callithrix jacchus (white-tufted-ear marmoset) is the source of this 306-nucleotide unclassified non-coding RNA. It matches the Rfam family "Metazoan signal recognition particle RNA". Rfam says of the family: The signal recognition particle (SRP) is a universally conserved ribonucleoprotein. It is involved in the co-translational targeting of proteins to membranes. Lineage: Eukaryota; Metazoa; Chordata; Mammalia; Primates; Cebidae. The record is from Ensembl.
GCUGUGUGCCGUGUGUGUGCCUGUAGUCUCAGCUACUCGGGAGACUGAGGUGGGAGGAUUGCUUGAGACCAGGAGAUCUGGGCUGUAGUGCCCAGAGCUAGGCCAAUCAGGUGUCUGCACUAAGUUCAGCAUCAAUAUGGUGACCUCCUGGGGGCGGGGUCCACCAGGUUGCCUAAGGAGGGGUGAACGAGCCCAGAAUGGAAACAGCAGGUCAGGUCAAAACUCCUGUGUUGAUCAGUAGUGGGAUCACACCUGUGAAUAGCCACUGCACUCCAGCCUGGGCAACAUAGCAAGACUCCAUCUCUC